ACUCAAAUGAAUUGACGGGGGCCCGCACAAGCAGUGGAGUAUGUGGUUUAAUUCGAAGCAACGCGAAGAACCUUACCAGGGCUUGACAUCCCUCUGACUGAUCUGGAGACAGGUCUUCCCUUCGGGGCAGAGGAGACAGGUGGUGCAUGGUUGUCGUCAGCUCGUGUCGUGAGAUGUUGGGUUAAGUCCCGCAACGAGCGCAACCCUUGUUGUUAGUUGCCAGCAAUUUAGUUGGGCACUCUAGCAAGACUGCCGGUGAUAAAUCGGAGGAAGGUGGGGAUGACGUCAAAUCAUCAUGCCCCUUAUGUUCUGGGCUACACACGUACUACAAUGGCGACCACAAAGGGAAGCAAGGCCGCGAGGCGGAGCAAAUCCCCAAAAGUCGCCCCAGUUCAGAUUGCAGGCUGCAACUCGCCUGCAUGAAGGCGGAAUUGCUAGUAAUGGCAGGUCAGCAUACUGCCGUGAAUACGUUCCCGGGCCUUGUACACACCGCCCGU
RNAcentral lists this ribosomal RNA (497 nucleotides) under uncultured bacterium. RNAcentral describes it as "bacterial SSU rRNA". It matches the Rfam family "Bacterial small subunit ribosomal RNA", at positions 899 to 1397 of the family's 1533-position model. The record is from RNAcentral.